GAUGAACGCUGGCGGCGUGCCUAAUACAUGCAAGUCGAGCGAACAGACGAGGAGCUUGCUCCUCUGACGUUAACGGCGGACGGGUGAGUAACACGUGGAUAACCUACCUAUAAGACUGGGAUAACUUCGGGAAACCGGAGCUAAUACCGGAUAACAUGUUGAACCGCAUGGUUCAACAGUGAAAGACGGUCUUGCUGUCACUUAUAGAUGGAUCCGCGCCGCAUUAGCUAGUUGGUAAGGUAACGGCUUACCAAGGCAACGAUGCGUAGCCGACCUGAGAGGGUGAUCGGCCACACUGGAACUGAGACACGGUCCAGACUCCUACGGGAGGCAGCAGUAGGGAAUCUUCCGCAAUGGGCGAAAGCCUGACGGAGCAACGCCGCGUGAGUGAAGAAGGUCUUCGGAUCGUAAACCUCUGUUAUUAGGGAAGAACAAAUGUGUAAGUAACUAUGCACGUCUUGACGGUACCUAAUCAGAAAGCCACGGCUAACUACGUG
Molecule: ribosomal RNA, 497 nt
Filed under: uncultured bacterium
Lineage: Bacteria
Description: partial 16S ribosomal RNA
Rfam family: Bacterial small subunit ribosomal RNA
Source: RNAcentral